Molecule: ribosomal RNA, 486 nt
Filed under: uncultured bacterium
Lineage: Bacteria
Description: bacterial SSU rRNA
Rfam family: Bacterial small subunit ribosomal RNA
Source: RNAcentral
GACUAACGCUAACGGUGUGCAUAAUACAUGCAAGUCAAACGGGCAAUGCGAGAGUAGCAAUACUUUUGCAAAGCCAGUGGCGAACGGGUGAGUAACGCGUAGGUAAUCUGCCCUGGAGAUUAGGAUAACUUUCCGAAAGGAAAGCUAAUACUGAAUACUUUAUAUUUUUCGCAUGAUUAAUAUAACAAAGGUAGCCGCAAGGCUUCCGCUUCAGGAUGAACCUGCGUCCUAUUAGCUUGUUGGUAAGGUAAUGGCUUACCAAGGCUAUGAUGGGUAGCCGGCCUGAGAGGGUGAUCGGCCACACUGGGACUGAGAUACGGCCCAGACUCCUACGGGAGGCAGCAGUAGGGAAUAUUGCGCAAUGGGCGAAAGCCUGACGCAGCGACACCGUGUGAAGGAUGAAGGUCUUCGGAUCGUAAACUUCUGUCAAUUGGGGAAGAAGGUAGUAGGGGUUAAUAGCCUCUAUUAUUGGCGGUACCCAAAAAG